Molecule: transfer RNA, 76 nt
Filed under: Candidatus Omnitrophota bacterium
Lineage: Bacteria; Pseudomonadati; Candidatus Omnitrophota
Description: tRNA-Lys
Rfam family: tRNA
About the family: Transfer RNA (tRNA) molecules are approximately 80 nucleotides in length.
Source: RNAcentral
GCGCCGAUAGCUCAGUUGGUAGAGCAGCUGACUCUUAAUCAGCGGGUCGUAGGUUCAAUCCCUACUCGGCGCACCA